CGGGUCACUGCUGGGGCUACUGCCCUCACUGAAACAAGGAGAAUAGGAUUCGGGCCUGGAUUCACCGCCCACAUGGAUACUACAGCCAAGACUAUUCCUCCAGAAGAGAAGAAACAAAUUUGAUAAGGAGAUCCACCUCUCCUGGGUCCUAGCCAGAAGCAUGAGUGGUGUGCAAUCUAUGCCCAAAUCCAAUAUUCUUCUACAGGAAAAGGAGAAGGGAGAAGAGAAAAACAUAUGGGGCAAAGUCUCAUUCUGAGUUGAUGCACUAGAAUGAUAUCUUUCCUGGGCAUCCUGUGCCCUAUGAGAAGAACAAGACUAGACUUCAAACUAGCACGAGAGGCAAUAGAGUGCAGACCACCACCAACCAUGCAUUUCACUGCACCAAGCUGUGCCCAAUAAAAAGAAUGUCCCAUCUCAUGCUUAUUAGCUAUCCUUCCAGUUUAUCUCCUGUAUCUUUUCCAAAUCUCAUCCUCAUUUCUAGUCCCAAAUCUAAACUCAUUUCUAGUCCCAAAUCUGAUACUCAUUUCUAGUCCCAAAUCUGAUACUCAUUUCUAGUCCCAAAUCUAAACUCAUUUCUAGUCCCAAAUCUGAUACUCAUUUCUAGUCCCAAAUCUGAUACUCAUUUCUAGUCCCAAAUCUGAUACUCAUUUCUAGUCCCAAAUCUAAUACUCAUUUCUAGUCCCAAAUCCAUUAUUUCUAUCUUAGAAAUAUUACAUUGGCAUAGUAGACAGCCCAAUUCCCUAUGAUUAUGAAAAUGAUUGCCAAACUUACCUCAGUGACACUGUGAAAACUAUAAGUCAUUGGGAAUGCCUCCCCAGUUUCAAAGGGAACUCCUCAGAAAGGAAACUGAAGAAUAAAGACAGAAUCGAGAGUUUGCCAAGAUGAUUUAAUUCAGGCUAGCCAUUUAAUGUUUUAUUUAUAGAAUUUGCCAACUUGAGGAGCAUAAAGACCCUUUCCCAUAGGUUCAUUUGACCUUAGAAUUAGUCCCCUGUGCCACUAAAAGAGAAAAGGGAUUCUCAAAAAUGUGAAAUUUCUUAGAUUCCACAAUUGUGACACCCCCCCC
Molecule: long non-coding RNA, 1063 nt
Organism: Antechinus flavipes (yellow-footed antechinus)
Lineage: Eukaryota; Metazoa; Chordata; Mammalia; Dasyuromorphia; Dasyuridae
Exons: 2
Source: RefSeq, a predicted model, not a curated record